AAUAGAUACCCGGGUAGUCCACGCCGUAAACGAUGAGUGCUAAGUGUUAGAGGGUUUCCGCCCUUUAGUGCUGCAGCUAACGCAUUAAGCACUCCGCCUGGGGAGUACGGUCGCAAGACUGAAACUCAAAGGAAUUGACGGGGGCCCGCACAAGCGGUGGAGCAUGUGGUUUAAUUCGAAGCAACGCGAAGAACCUUACCAGGUCUUGACAUCCUCUGACAACUCUAGAGAUAGAGCGUUCCCCUUCGGGGGACAGAGUGACAGGUGGUGCAUGGUUGUCGUCAGCUCGUGUCGUGAGAUGCUGGGUUAAGUCCCGCAACGAGCGCAACCCUUGAUCUUAGUUGCCAGCAUUUAGUUGGGCACUCUAAGGUGACUGCCGGUGACAAACCGGAGGAAGGUGGGGAUGACGUCAAAUCAUCAUGCCCCUUAUGACCUGGGCUACACACGUGCUACAAUGGAUGGUACAAAGGGCUGCAAGACCGCGAGGUCAAGCCAAUCCCAUAAAACCAUUCUCAGUUCGGAUUGUAGG
This 529-nucleotide ribosomal RNA is filed under the name uncultured bacterium. RNAcentral's name for it is "bacterial SSU rRNA". It matches the Rfam family "Bacterial small subunit ribosomal RNA", at positions 777 to 1304 of the family's 1533-position model. The record is from RNAcentral.